GCUUGCUCCCGAUGAUUAGCGGCGGACGGGUGAGUAACACGUGGGCAACCUGCCUGUAAGACUGGGAUAACUCCGGGAAACCGGGGCUAAUACCGGAUAAUAUCUUUUUAUACAUAUAAUUAGAUUGAAAGAUGGUUCUGCUAUCACUUACAGAUGGGCCCGCGGCGCAUUAGCUAGUUGGUGAGGUAACGGCUCACCAAGGCGACGAUGCGUAGCCGACCUGAGAGGGUGAUCGGCCACACUGGGACUGAGACACGGCCCAGACUCCUACGGGAGGCAGCAGUAGGGAAUCUUCCGCAAUGGACGAAAGUCUGACGGAGCAACGCCGCGU
Molecule: ribosomal RNA, 331 nt
Filed under: Priestia flexa
Lineage: Bacteria; Bacillati; Bacillota; Bacilli; Caryophanales; Bacillaceae
Description: bacterial SSU rRNA
Rfam family: Bacterial small subunit ribosomal RNA
Source: RNAcentral